AGAGUUUGAUCCUGGCUCAGGAUGAACGCUAGCGGCAGGCUUAACACAUGCAAGUCGAGGGGUAUAGUUCUUCGGAACUAGAGACCGGCGCACGGGUGCGUAACGCGUAUGCAAUCUACCUUUUACAGAGGGAUAGCCCAGAGAAAUUUGGAUUAAUACCUCAUAGUAUAUAGCCCUGGCAUCAGGAUUAUAUUAAAGUCACAACGGUAAAAGAUGAGCAUGCGUCCCAUUAGCUAGUUGGUAAGGUAACGGCUUACCAAGGCUACGAUGGGUAGGGGUCCUGAGAGGGAGAUCCCCCACACUGGUACUGAGACACGGACCAGACUCCUACGGGAGGCAGCAGUGAGGAAUAUUGGACAAUGGGCGCAAGCCUGAUCCAGCCAUGCCGCGUGCAGGAUGACGGUCCUAUGGAUUGUAAACUGCUUUUAUACGAGAAGAAACAUCCCGACGUGUCGGGACUUGACGGUAUCGUAAGAAUAAGGAUCGGCUAACUCCGUGCCAGCAGCCGCGGUAAUACGGAGGAUCCAAGCGUUAUCCGGAAUCAUUGGGUUUAAAGGGUCCGUAGGCGGUUUAAUAAGUCAGUGGUGAAAGCCCAUCGCUCAACGGUGGAACGGCCAUUGAUACUGUUAGACUUGAAUUAUUAGGAAGUAACUAGAAUAUGUAGUGUAGCGGUGAAAUGCUUAGAGAUUACAUGGAAUACCAAUUGCGAAAGGCAGGUUACUACUAAUUGAUUGACGCUGAUGGACGAAAGCGUGGGUAGCGAACAGGAUUAGAUACCCUGGUAGUCCACGCUGUAAACGAUGAUUACUCGUUUUCGGCGAUAUACAGUCGGAGACUAAGCGAAAGUGAUAAGUAUCCCACCUGGGGAGUACGUUCGCAAGAAUGAAACUCAAAGGAAUUGACGGGGGCCCGCACAAGCGGUGGAGCAUGUGGUUUAAUUCGAUGAUACGCGAGGAACCUUACCAAGGCUUAAAUGUAGAUUGACCGGUUUGGAAACAGAUCUUUCGCAAGACAAUUUACAAGGUGCUGCAUGGUUGUCGUCAGCUCGUGCCGUGAGGUGUCAGGUUAAGUCCUAUAACGAGCGCAACCCCUGUUGUUAGUUGCCAGCGAGUCAAGUCGGGAACUCUAACAAGACUGCCAGUGCAAACUGUGAGGAAGGUGGGGAUGACGUCAAAUCAUCACGGCCCUUACGCCUUGGGCUACACACGUGCUACAAUGGCCGGUACAGAGAGCAGCCACUGGGCGACCAGGAGCGAAUCUAUAAAACCGGUCACAGUUCGGAUCGGAGUCUGCAACUCGACUCCGUGAAGCUGGAAUCGCUAGUAAUCGGAUAUCAGCCAUGAUCCGGUGAAUACGUUCCCGGGCCUUGUACACACCGCCCGUCAAGCCAUGGAAGCUGGGGGUGCCUGAAGUCGGUGACCGCAAGGAGCUGCCUGGGGUAAAACUGGUAACUAGGGCUAAGUCGUAACAAGGUA
This 1475-nucleotide ribosomal RNA is filed under the name uncultured Flavobacterium sp. RNAcentral describes it as "bacterial SSU rRNA". It matches the Rfam family "Bacterial small subunit ribosomal RNA". Lineage: Bacteria; Pseudomonadati; Bacteroidota; Flavobacteriia; Flavobacteriales; Flavobacteriaceae. The record is from RNAcentral.